UGUGAACUCAGAGUCACCCCAGGAACAAGCGGAAAGGACCUUGCACUUCUGAGGCUAUCUUCUUCCUGAACAAAAUGAUACACAAUAACGCUGUCUUCGAGGCUAUCUUCUUCCUGAAGUAUCCCGUUCUGAAGAUCUCUAUCCCCAACUCUUAUUUCUCUCACCAAAACAGCACCAAGUGAUACUUAGUGGAGAAGCCCUCAUUUGAUGAUGAUGAUGACGAUGACAAUGAUGAUGAUGAUAUGAUGAUGAUGAUGCUCUGUGGAGUACAGCUUACCUGAGUGCCUCUGGAUGUGUGACUGGGCUUUUCACCUUCUCCAGGAAGACUGGUCUCACGAAAGACUCAGAACUGUGCUAGGAAUCACUGUCCCUUUGGACUGCACGACACCUAGGUGAGCUGCUGGCACCAAAUCAGGAAUUCUGACCACGAAGAUAGUGAUGACACUGAUGUUGGAAACUGGGAAUGAUUGACAGAAGGGGAACCAUGUUCUGUUCCGCUUUCACAGAGUACAAAUCCAAAAAGCCUAGAUGCAGAGGGAUAGAUCAAGCUCGUGACUCACUAGCACAACAGAAUCAAUGUCUCUGAAGAGGAACUUGGUUGAGGGCCUUUUAAGUUAGUCAGCUCUCUUGAUGUGUAAUUGGCGUGUAGUUGAUUGACAUGUAGAUCCAGGGUGUGAAAACAGACAUGCCACUGGACUCAGAGGGGAUGGAACACAUGAAGAGAUCGGGCUACAUCUGGGCCAUUUGGACACUGACCUUUAUCUUCAUGGAAAAUGGUAAAAUGGCAGGCGGCCUGUGGGUGAGGCUACUGUGCUUUCUGUAUGGUUCCUGCUCGUGCAUGCUCUGCAUGUGCUCCCACCAGGCCAAUAAGAGACAAAAUUCCUCUUAAAGGAAACAGCUGAGAGUGCCCCUCAUUCACCCUGAGCACCUCCUUAUUAAGCAAGAGUUGGGCAACCUCAAGUGAGCUCAGAGACUCAUGAAGAAUGACGAAUGGAUUGAGAAAUAACAGGCAUGAGGAACGGGGGAGGUGGUUGUGAGAGAACCCAUGGUGUUUCUUUGUUGUUGCUAUGGCAACCAGCCAGGGACUACUUUAAGGAAGAAUUCAUUGAAGUAUCAAAGGGUUUCUAUGUUCUGGCACUAUAUGGGGAAAACUGUCUGGAGAUGUCUAGACUAUCUAGAGAUGGUGUAGAGAUUUUUGGAGUGGCCAAGGGACUGUGAUUCUGGCCAGUUUAUGUGUUUUGUUGUUUUGUUUUACUUCUCAUUUCUACAAGAUAAACUGUUCUCUGUCCUGAUGGUGUUAGGGAAGCCUCAUGGUAUUUUCCUAAAAUGUCCUCUUGAAGAUACAAGUGCCCACUUGGCCUUUCUGAAACUGAACCUACCAUGUUCACACACCACACACUUUUUACCCCCUUGCCUCUUGGUCUGUGUUGCUAUGGUAGUAAUGGCGUGUGCACGCAUGUGUGUGUUUGUGUGUGUGUGUGUGUGUGUGUGUGUGUGUGUGUGUGUGUUUAUGGCCACAACUCUGGAAUUUACAGGGACUUUUUAUUUUAAGAAAAUUACAGAAGUCAGUUAAGUCCAACAGGCAUUGAGUAAUGUGCCGACCUUAUUUUAAGUUUUUCUUCAAUAUUCAGAGCCUUACUCAGCCACAGGCAGACUUAAAUUGUGUUGAUGAGUGAGUGCUGACCUGCUAAGUUCCUAAAGAUACAGAAAAGGCAGUAAUAAGGUUUCAAAGAGAGUUUUGGAGGCAAAGUAAGAAGGCAACAAAGUAACAGGGCAACAAGAGCUGUUGACAGACAUGUUUUACUCCUUAUCACCAAAGAACAAAGAAGGGUCAGAACAGGGGAAUGUGGUUUCAGAGGCACAAAAGAACCCUUGGAAGGUGACAGAAAAAUGAAGCUUGGCUAGGGUCCAGCGCUGAGGGAGGAGAGAGUGGUAAUUUAUCAACCUCCCACUGCUGGCUGGAGUCACCAAGCUGAAGAGUAAGCAUUGCUUGGACUUCACCCAUGAUGUGUAGGUGUAUCUGUCACCAGCUGAAGUCAUGGCCUUGUCAGGUGCUCCCUAUCUCCUCUCUUAGUAUUCUAGGCCAUCUGUAUCUCCAGCAGGGGGCAAGCAAGGCAUGGAGGGCUGGAAGGAAAAGACACUGGCCAGGUCCUCUCCGUGGUCUGAGAGGGAGGUGACAGAGAGCCCAGUGCAUAGUGAGACCAAGCCUCCCCGAUAGAGGGAAAGUCCAGCAUAGAUCCUCAGUCCUCAUCCCUGGGACCCAGCCUUUCCUAUUAACUUGUCAAGGUACUUUUCUGAGGCUGGGUCUUUCCCCCUCUCAACUUUAAGAUGGGAUUGAGUAAGAUCAAGAGAAAGACCAAGGAAUAGAAAUCAAUAUUUUUUUCAUGGACUACCUUGGAGGAAAAACGAAGCAUAGAGAGUUGUAUUUCACAGUGCAGAACGAUGAUGCUAUACCUAGGGAUGCCCAACAGCAACGGCAACGAAAACAACUGGAAAGCACCGAACGUCAACAAGGACUUGAGGCCCUACUGUGUACACAAAACUGGUGACGACAAUGGCAAGGUCAAAGGGCUCGAUGGAAUUUAUAAGAAGCAGAAGAAAUGGCAGCAGAUCAUAGUUGUCCCCUAAGACGGGGAGUAGGGCCCUCCCUCUGUAGCAGCAAAGUACACACAGCAGAGCAGGCUCUCUCACUGCUGAGAAUUAACCAGCAUUCAUAUUUUGGCCUAUUUGCUUUUGUCCUGCUUUCCUUUGUGAGGACCUUUUAACCACAUAGAGAGUAAUCAAUGUAUUUUAGCACAAUCCAUGGCUCAAUUCUUACCAACAUGAGCCACCAGCUGGAGCUGCUCUCUCCUUCCUGCAAGGUCAGGAGAUAGGGAAAGGGGUGUGUGUGUGUGUGUGUAACCAGUGAGGGGAAAGUUUUCAGGGAUGAUGGUUGGUCUUGGUUGCCACCCUGACUGGAUUGGUAAAACACACCUAUCCUGUGCCUGUGAGUGUGUGUCUAGAAAAGUGCAUCCUGGUAGAGUGACUGGGGGAGAAACACUCCUAUUGAAUCGGGGCAGCACCACAAUAAGGGCGUACGAGGGAUCCAUUCAGCAGUCAGCGCUACAUAGCUUCAGGCUCACACACUGGGGAUGGGUGCUUUCUAACUGCACCACUUAGUUUAAUAAAAAUAUUUCAAAGCUGCUCUUUCAAGACAAAGGACUUGGUACAGAGUUCAGAUGCUCUGGCCAUCUUCCCAACAACUUCUGUGCUGGAGGAUCAGUGCUGGAUUCCCUGAGUUCCUUGAGGUGGGGAGUCAGAGGUAGAGAGUUCGGCAAAGAGCCUCGGAGACUUCGAGGACCAAAUCACUAAAAGGUGGGGCUGAAAAGGAAAAAAAAAAAACCCCUGCGCUGGUCCAGUUUUUGGUGCAUAGUUUCCCUUUCUAUCCUGAUGCUACACGGAGAAGAAAAACGUUGAGUGCAGAGGCCUGAGUUCAUGGUGACUGCCCCUAGAGAGUUUCUACAGCACCAAAUGAAGAUGUCCGGUAAGUUUAGGAAGAGAGCAUAGGGGCAAAGGACAGCCUUGGGUUCCCAAAGACAUGGACAGUAUGGGGGAAGAGGAAGUUUCUGAACCACUGUAGGUAAGAAAUUGAAUGUUUUAAUCCCGCUCACUGGGGGCAGGACACUCGAUGGGAACUGCUGAAUAUAACCUCCAUAGGCAGGACAACUAGGAUUCUCAGGGAGGACUCUGCAUGGCAGAGAUCAGCUUUCUUUCCUUGAGGGCACAUGAUGGGCCAUUCUCAGAUACACAGCAGACUCAUAUAGAUGGGAGCCUUGCUGCCUGACAAGAGCUGGUGAUAGAGAGAAGGACAAACAGAGAAAUAGUGAAGGCACAUGGUCUCAGCCCCAAGCAGAGAGCAGAGCUGGGAAGUUGGUGAGGAGAGCUUUUGAGCAUGGAGCUCUGAGCAAAGGGCUCUGCAGCCAUGAUGUCUGGGAUCAGGGUAAAGCUCUUAGAGAC
Molecule: small RNA, 3996 nt
Filed under: Rattus norvegicus (Norway rat)
Lineage: Eukaryota; Metazoa; Chordata; Mammalia; Rodentia; Muridae
Description: uncharacterized LOC108351555
Source: RNAcentral